UGANUUGAGUGCAGAAGGGGAGAGUGGAAUUCCAUGUGUAGCGGUGAAAUGCGUAGAUAUAUGGAGGAACACCAGUGGCGAAAGCGGCUCUCUGGUCUGUCACUGACGCUGAGGCUCGAAAGCGUGGGUAGCGAACAGGAUUAGAUACCCUGGUAGUNCACGCCGUAAACGAUGAGUGCUAGGUGUUAGGCCCUUUCCGGGGCUUAGUGCCGGAGCUAACGCAAUAAGCACUCCGCCUGGGGAGUACGACCGCAAGGUUGAAACUCAAAGGAAUUGACGGGGGCCCGCACAAGCGGUGGAGCAUGUGGUUUAAUUCGAAGCAACGCGAAGAACCUUACCAGGUCUUGACAUCCCGAUGCUAUUCUUAGAGAUAGGAAGUUACUUCGGUACAUCGGAGACAGGUGGUGCAUGGUUGUCGUCAGCUCGUGUCGUGAGAUGUUGGGUUAAGUCCCGCAACGAGCGCAACCCUUAUUGUUAGUUGCCAUCAUUAAGUUGGGCACUCUAGCGAGACUGCCGGUAAUAAACCGGAGGAAGGUGGGGAUGACGUCAAAUCAUCAUGCCCCUUAUGACCUGGGCUACACACGUGCUACAAUGGUCGGUACAACGAGUUGCGAGCCGGUGACGGCAAGCUAAUCUCUGAAAGCCGAUCUCAGUUCGGAUUGGAGGCUGCAACUCGCCUCCAUGAAGUCGGAAUCGCUAGUAAUCGCGGAUCAGCACGCCGCGGUGAAUACGUUCCCGGGCCUUGUACACACC
Molecule: ribosomal RNA, 753 nt
Filed under: uncultured bacterium
Lineage: Bacteria
Description: bacterial SSU rRNA
Rfam family: Bacterial small subunit ribosomal RNA
Source: RNAcentral